Molecule: unclassified non-coding RNA, 336 nt
Filed under: soil metagenome
Description: partial contains 5.8S ribosomal RNA, internal transcribed spacer 2, and large subunit ribosomal RNA
Rfam family: 5.8S ribosomal RNA (bases 1-120)
Source: RNAcentral
GAUGAAGAACGUAGCGAAAUGCGAUAAGUAGUGUGAAUUGCAGAAUUCAGUGAAUCAUCGAAUCUUUGAACGCACAUUGCGCCCUAUGGUAUUCCGUAGGGCAUGUCUGUUCGAGCGUCAUUCAAGCCUUCAAGCUCUGCUUGGUGUUGGGCGUCUGUCCCGCCUCACGGCGCGGACUCGCCUCAAAUCUAUUGGCGGCCGGCACGUUGGCUUCGAGCGCAGCAGAAACGCGAACUCGAGACCGGCGGAUCGGCUCCCAGAAGCUAACCCCCAUGAAUUUGACCUCGGAUCAGGUAGGGAUACCCGCUGAACUUAAGCAUAUCAAUAAGCGGAGGA